CAGCCGCCGCGGUAAAACGAAGGGGGCUAGCGUUGUUCGGAUUUACUGGGCGUAAAGGGCGCGUAGGCGGACUGAUAAGUCAGGGGUGAAAUCCCAAGGCUCAACCUUGGAACUGCCUUUGAUACUGUUUGUCUUGAGUUCGAGAGAGGUAAGUGGAACUGCGAGUGUAGAGGUGAAAUUCGUAGAUAUUCGCAAGAACACCAGUGGCGAAGGCGGCUUACUGGCUCGAAACUGACGCUGAGGCGCGAAAGCGUGGGGAGCAAACAGGAUUAGAUACCCCUGUAGUCCCUGUCUCUUAUAC
Molecule: ribosomal RNA, 301 nt
Filed under: uncultured bacterium
Lineage: Bacteria
Description: partial 16S ribosomal RNA
Rfam family: Bacterial small subunit ribosomal RNA
Source: RNAcentral